This 772-nucleotide long non-coding RNA is filed under the name Gallus gallus (chicken). RNAcentral describes it as "long non-coding RNA NONGGAT000969". The record is from RNAcentral. Lineage: Eukaryota; Metazoa; Chordata; Aves; Galliformes; Phasianidae.
UUCAACCUGAUAUCUUUAGAUAUCUAAUCUCUCACUAGUUCUUCACAUUUUGUGGAUGAAUGGAUGCUCCUUAUCGUGCAACAAAAAGACCAGUCUGGCGUCCCUAGGGCAGACCAUGCAUUACAGCAGAACUCAGAGAGGCGUAAUUAUAGAGGACAGCCUCAUUUGGGUGCAACUGGAUAUUGUGCCAAUUUUAUUCCAGCUCCAUUAACGUAUGGCAACAAUACAGACAGUACAUCGCCUGACAAAGAACUCAUAGUCCUCCUCUGGAUUUAUGUAGCAAGAUUUUGGCAGUGGGGUGGCCUGCAAGAAGCCAGCAGCUGCCCCGUGUCAGAUCACAGCCCUUGUAGGAGCAGCCCAGGCCUGAGCUGCAGCCCAUGGAGAGCAGCCUGCAGAGGGGCAGGAGGGCUGAGGGAGCUGCCGCCUGUGGGGAACCGUGUGGAGCAGUGCCUGAAGGGUGGGCUCCAUGGUGCGGAGCUGUGUUGGAACAGUGCUGGGAGAGCUGCAGCAUGUGGAAAGCCCAUGUGGGAUCAGACCAGGAAGGAUGCCAUCCCAUGGGACGGACCCACACAGAACAGAAGCAGAGAGUGAUCAUGGAAGAGCAGAAGACAUGAAGCUUUAUGGACUGACCGCAGCCCCCUUUCCCUAUUCCCCUGUGCUCGUUGAGGGAAGGAGGUAGGAGUUGAGCCUGAGAAAAGGUGGGUGGAGGAGAGGUGUUGUCAGUCUGUUUUUAUUUCUCAUUGCCCUAUUACUAAUAGGCCAUAAAUAAAAU